Molecule: ribosomal RNA, 440 nt
Filed under: uncultured bacterium
Lineage: Bacteria
Description: partial 16S ribosomal RNA
Rfam family: Bacterial small subunit ribosomal RNA
Source: RNAcentral
CCUACGGGCGGCAGCAGUGGGGAAUAUUGCACAAUGGGGGAAACCCUGAUGCAGCAACGCCGCGUGAGUGAAGAAGUCCUUCGGUAUGUAAAGCUCUAUCAGCAGGGAAGAAGAUGACGGUACCUGAAUAAGUAGCCCCGGACAACUACGUGCCAGCAGCCGCGGUAAUACGUAGGGGGCAAGCGUUAUCCGGAUUUACUGGGUGUAAAGGGAGCGCAGACGGGAUUGCAAGUCUGGAGGGAAAGCCCGGGGGCCAACCCCGGAACUGCUCUGGAAACUGUGCGGCUAGAGUACUGGAGAGGCAGGCGGAAUUCCUGGUGUAGCGGUGAAAUGCGUAGAUAUUAGGAGGAACACCGGUGGCGAAGGCGGCCUACUGGACAGUAACUGACGUUGAGGCUCGAAAGCGUGGGGAGCAAACAGGAUUAGAUACCCGGGUAGUC